GAUUGUAGUCUGCAACUCGACUACAUGAAGCUGGAAUCGCUAGUAAUCGUAGAUCAGCAUGCUACGGUGAAUACGUUCCCGGGUCUUGUACACACCGCCCGUCACACCACGAGAGUUUGUAACACCCGAAGCCGGUGGAGUAACCUUUUAGGAGCUAGCCGUCGAAGGUGGGACAAAUGAUUGGGGUGAAGUCGUAACAAGGUAGCCGUAUCGGAAGGUGCGGCUGGAUCACCUCCUUU
This 239-nucleotide ribosomal RNA is filed under the name Staphylococcus aureus. Its description in RNAcentral is "partial 16S ribosomal RNA". It matches the Rfam family "Bacterial small subunit ribosomal RNA", at positions 1296 to 1533 of the family's 1533-position model. The record is from RNAcentral. Lineage: Bacteria; Bacillati; Bacillota; Bacilli; Caryophanales; Staphylococcaceae.